UCAAUCUAAAAAGGAUAAACAAAAGACGUUAAGAAGUGAGAAAGAUCUUUUGCAUGUGAAAAUUUUUAAUAUUUUUAAAGCACCAAGCAACAUUUCUUCACCACAUCUCUCAUUUUUUCAUUUCUUUGUUUUCAUGGUCAUUCUGGAGUUUAAUUACAAACACAUUUUUUUUGUUCAUGGUCAUUCCCAGGUUUAAUUGCAAACAGAUUCCAAAUGUCCAGUCCAGGUUGACAGCUGGGAGGACAAGAGUCUCACAUCUACCCCACAACAGAGUUGAUUGUCUUGGAGUGACCUGGAUAGCCCCCCAUCACCCCAGGCCUCCUCAGGAGAAGAGGAGAGACAAACUGACUGAGGAGUUUGGGAGAAAGAACCAGGCCUGCAACUCAGCUCCUGCUCUACUCUACCCUGACCUGAAUGCCUGUACCUGGCUGCUCUCAGUAACCUGAGGAAAGUCUGCAGUUGUCCAGCUGUGCAGUGACUGAUGACCACUGAGUAGGAUCCAGUGUGACCCUCCACCCAGCCUUCCAAAUUAUGCUUCAGAUUGAUCCUGGCUCUCAGCAUCCACCUUGACCCAGGCUUCGAUUUCACUUUUUGGCGCCCAAGUUCACCAGCAGCUCCCAAGCCCUGCCUGCGUUUACCAAGACACCAGCCUGGGAUCUGGAGGUAUCACACAAGGCCCCACACACAUGUAAUUUGUGUUGGCAUUUCUCUCCCCACAUGCCUUUUGCUAUUUUAGCUUCUCUCAGAUACACAGUCUUUGUUCUAAAAGUCUCCGUGUCCUGAAUUACUUCCUUGCCCUCUGUACAGGAUCAAAACCAGCUGUUAGAGCUGGUUGUUCCUUUCUUUAACAAUCGGUCUGGCUUUUAAGUUAGCUCUCGU
Neofelis nebulosa (Clouded leopard) is the source of this 879-nucleotide long non-coding RNA. RefSeq lists it as uncharacterized. NCBI's taxonomy places the organism in Eukaryota, Metazoa, Chordata, Mammalia, Carnivora, Felidae. The record is from RefSeq and is a predicted model, not a curated record. The transcript is spliced from 3 exons.